RNAcentral lists this ribosomal RNA (346 nucleotides) under uncultured bacterium. Its description in RNAcentral is "partial 16S ribosomal RNA". It matches the Rfam family "Bacterial small subunit ribosomal RNA", at positions 338 to 681 of the family's 1533-position model. The record is from RNAcentral.
CCUACGGGAGGCAGCAGUGAGGAAUAUUGGUCAAUGGGCGCGAGCCUGAACCAGCCAAGUAGCGUGAAGGAUGACUGCCCUACGGGUUGUAAACUUCUUUUAUAAAGGAAUAAAGUGAGGCACGUGUGCCUUUUUGUAUGUACUUUAUGAAUAAGGAUCGGCUAACUCCGUGCCAGCAGCCGCGGUAAUACGGAGGAACCGAGCGUUAUCCGGAUUUAUUGGGUUUAAAGGGAGCGUAGAUGGGUUGUUAAGUCAGUUGUGAAAGUUUGCGGCUCAACCGUAAAAUUGCAAUUGAUACUGGCAGUCUUGCGUGGGCGAGAAGUCUGCGGCAUGCGUGGUGUAGCGG